AACGGCCGUACCAUGCUGAAUAUACCGGUUCUCGUUAGAUCACCGAAGUCAAGCAUCAUUGGGCGCGGUCGUUGGGUGGGGGCCACCUGGGAACACCGCGUGCCGUU
Caerostris darwini is the source of this 107-nucleotide non-coding RNA. The record is from the annotation of a GenBank genome assembly. Lineage: Eukaryota; Metazoa; Arthropoda; Arachnida; Araneae; Araneidae.